GAUCCUGGCUCAGAUUGAACGCUGGCGGCAGGCCUAACACAUGCAAGUCGAACGGUAACAGGAAGCAGCUUGCUGCUUUGCUGACGAGUGGCGGACGGGUGAGUAAUGUCUGGGAAACUGCCUGAUGGAGGGGGGAUAACUACUGGAAACGGUAGCUAAUACCGCAUAACGUCGCAAGACCAAAGAGGGGGACUUUCGGGCCUCUUGCCAUCGGAUGUGCCCAGAUGGGAUUAGCUAGUAGGG
RNAcentral lists this ribosomal RNA (243 nucleotides) under uncultured bacterium. RNAcentral's name for it is "partial 16S ribosomal RNA". It matches the Rfam family "Bacterial small subunit ribosomal RNA", at positions 15 to 253 of the family's 1533-position model. The record is from RNAcentral.